GCACCUUAAUCACAAUGGUUUAUUCGCCAUUCUUAGUCCUCCGCGGAGUCUCCCAAAUCUGACUCUUAAUCAGCGGGUCGAAGGUUCGAGUCCUUCGGGGGGCA
RNAcentral lists this transfer RNA (104 nucleotides) under Phycisphaeraceae bacterium. RNAcentral's name for it is "tRNA-Ser". The stretch from base 48 to 104 matches the Rfam family "tRNA". From Rfam's summary of the family: Transfer RNA (tRNA) molecules are approximately 80 nucleotides in length. Their secondary structure includes four short double-helical elements and three loops (D, anti-codon, and T loops). Further hydrogen bonds mediate the characteristic L-shaped molecular structure. tRNAs have two regions of fundamental functional importance: the anti-codon, which is responsible for specific mRNA codon recognition, and the 3' end, to which the tRNAs corresponding amino acid is attached (by aminoacyl-tRNA synthetases). tRNAs cope with the degeneracy of the genetic code in two manners: having more than one tRNA (with a specific anti-codon) for a particular amino acid; and 'wobble' base-pairing, i.e. permitting non-standard base-pairing at the 3rd anti-codon position. RNAcentral also lists the same sequence under 1 other name. Lineage: Bacteria; Pseudomonadati; Planctomycetota; Phycisphaerae; Phycisphaerales; Phycisphaeraceae. The record is from RNAcentral.